This 253-nucleotide ribosomal RNA is filed under the name uncultured bacterium. RNAcentral's name for it is "partial 16S ribosomal RNA". It matches the Rfam family "Bacterial small subunit ribosomal RNA", at positions 524 to 776 of the family's 1533-position model. The record is from RNAcentral.
UACGCAGGGGGCUAGCGUUGCUCGGAAUUACUGGGCGUAAAGGGCGCGUAGGCGGCGAUGUUAGUCAGGCGUGAAAGCCCUGGGCUCAACCUGGGGACUGCGCUUGAUACGGCAUGGCUAGAGGAUGGAAGAGGGUCGCGGAAUUCCCAGUGUAGAGGUGAAAUUCGUAGAUAUUGGGAAGAACACCGGUGGCGAAGGCGGCUCUCUGGACCGAGACUGACGCUGAGGCGCGAAAGCGUGGGGAGCAAACAGG